This 773-nucleotide ribosomal RNA is filed under the name uncultured Neocallimastigales. RNAcentral describes it as "partial large subunit ribosomal RNA". It matches the Rfam family "Eukaryotic large subunit ribosomal RNA", at positions 23 to 634 of the family's 3401-position model. Lineage: Eukaryota; Fungi; Neocallimastigomycota; Neocallimastigomycetes; Neocallimastigales. The record is from RNAcentral.
GAGAUGUGUGAUGACGCAUAUCAAUAAGCGGAGGAAAAGAAACUAACAAGGAUUCCCCUAGUAACGGCGAGUGAAGCGGGAAGAGCUCAAAUUUGAAAUCUUCAAGGGUUUCCCUUGACGAAUUGUAGUUUAAAGAAGUGUUUUCUGUUAGAGGAGGUGGUAAAAGUUCUUGGAAUAGGACAUCAUAGAGGGUGAGAAUCCCGUAUUUGGUCACUUUCUACUAGCUUUGUGAUACACUUUCAAAGAGUCGGAUUGUUUGGGAAUGCAGUCCAAAAUGGGUGGUAAAUUUCAUCUAAAGCUAAAUAUUGGCGAGAGACCGAUAGCGAACAAGUACCGUGAGGGAAAGAUGAAAAGAACUUUGAAAAGAGAGUUAAACAGUACGUGAAAUUGUCAAAAGGGAAGCGUUUGACACCAGUGUUGUUUUUCCGAAAAUCAAUUAUGAAUGGCUUGAUUUUAAGUUUCAUGACCUUAAAAGCUUGUUUCUUAUUUUUCAUGUCUUUCGUAAUGCACUUUUCGGUUAACAAGUCAACAUCAAUUUCUUUUGUUGUAAGAGGUUAAGAGGAAGGUGGCUUUACUUUCGGGUAAAGUGUUUAUAGCCUUUUAACUCUGCAAUCGGAGAGAUUGAGGUCUGCAGCGUAGAUCCUUCGGGGUUAGAUACAUUUGUGCUAAGUUAUAGCUUUUCAUAGACAACUUGUUGACUAUGUUAAGUCUUGUAAUUUACUCGCAGAUGCUAUUUUACCUACGCUUAGGAUGUUGACGCAUGAGAUAUACGC